AGAGUUUGAUCAUGGCUCAGGACGAACGCUGGCGGCGUGCUUCAUACAUGCAAGUCGAGCGGGGUCCAUCCAGUGGCAACACUGGUGAAGACCUAGCGGCGAACGGGUGAGUAACACGUGAGGAACCUGCCCCAGAGACCGGGAUAACUCUCCGAAAGGAGAGCUAAUACCGGAUGCCCCCACCGGAUCGCAUGGUCUGGUGAGGAAAUGGAUUCCGCUCUGGGAGGGCCUCGCGGCCUAUCAGCUUGUUGGUGAGGUAACGGCUCACCAAGGCAACGACGGGUAGCUGGUCUGAGAGGACGGUCAGCCACACUGGGACUGAGACACGGCCCAGACUCCUACGGGAGGCAGCAGUAGGGAAUCUUGCGCAAUGGGCGAAAGCCUGACGCAGCAACGCCGCGUGGGGGAUGAAGGCUCUCGGGUUGUAAACCCCUUUCAGCAGGGACGAUUAUGACGGUACCUGCAGAAGAAGGACCGGCCAACUACGUGCCAGCAGCCGCGGUAAUACGUAGGGUCCGAGCGUUGUCCGGAUUUAUUGGGCGUAAAGAGCUCGUAGGCGGCUCAGUUAGUCGGAUGUGAAAACUCGGGGCUCAACCCCGAGACGCCAUCCGAUACUGCUGUGGCUUGAGUCUGGUAGGGGAACACGGAAUUCCUGGUGUAGCGGUGAAAUGCGCAGAUAUCAGGAGGAACACCAAUGGCGAAGGCAGUGUUCUGGGCCAGUACUGACGCUGAGGAGCGAAAGCGUGGGUAGCAAACAGGAUUAGAUACCCUGGUAGUCCACGCCGUAAACGUU
RNAcentral lists this ribosomal RNA (793 nucleotides) under uncultured bacterium. RNAcentral describes it as "bacterial SSU rRNA". It matches the Rfam family "Bacterial small subunit ribosomal RNA", at positions 8 to 810 of the family's 1533-position model. The record is from RNAcentral.